AAUCAACGCUGGCGGCGUGCCUCAGACAUGCAAGGUCGAACGAUUAAAGCUCUCUUCGGAGAGUGUAUAGAGUGGCGCACGGGUGAGUAACACGUAAGUAAUCUACCUUUGAGUGGGGGAAUAACAAUCGGAAACGAUUGCUAACUACCGCAUAAUGCAGCGGCAUCGCAAGAUGACAGUUGUUAAAGGAGCAAUCCGCUUAAGAGAGCUUGCGGCAGAUUAGCUAGUUGGUAAGGUAAUGGCUUACC
This 248-nucleotide ribosomal RNA is filed under the name uncultured bacterium. Its description in RNAcentral is "partial 16S ribosomal RNA". It matches the Rfam family "Bacterial small subunit ribosomal RNA", at positions 32 to 269 of the family's 1533-position model. The record is from RNAcentral.